UUGGAGGGCAAGUCUGGUGCCAGCAGCCGCGGUAAUUCCAGCUCCAAUAGCGUAUAUUAAAGUUGUUGCAGUUAAAAAGCUCGUAGUUGAAUUUCGGAAUCGACGGAUUGGUCGCGCCUUCGGUGUGUACUGGUCUUGCCGGUUUCUCCCUUCUGACGAACCACGAUGUCAUCAAUUUGGUGUCGUGGGGAAUCAGGACUGUUACUUUGAAAAAAUUAGAGUGUUUAAAGCAGGCAUUAGCUUGAAUACAUUAGCAUGGAAUAAUGAAAUAGGACGUUUGAUCUUAUUUUGUUGGUUUCUAGGAUCGACGUAAUGAUUAAUAGGGACAGUCGGGGGCAUCAGUAUUCAAUUGUCAGAGGUGAAAUUCUUGGAUUUAUUGAAGACUAACUACUGCGAAAGCAUUUGCCAAGGAUGUUUUCAUUAAUCAGUGAACGAAAGUUAGGGGAUCGAAGACGAUCAGAUACCGUCGUAGUCUUAACCAUAAACUAUGCCGACUAGGGAUCGGGCGGUGUUUCUAUUGUGACCCGCUCGGCACCUUACGGGAAACCAAAGUGUUUGGGUUC
This 563-nucleotide ribosomal RNA is filed under the name uncultured Glomeromycotina. RNAcentral's name for it is "SSU rRNA". It matches the Rfam family "Eukaryotic small subunit ribosomal RNA", at positions 548 to 1114 of the family's 1831-position model. The record is from RNAcentral. Lineage: Eukaryota; Fungi; Glomeromycota.